GUAAGUAGACAAAUCUGAAC
This 20-nucleotide small RNA is filed under the name Arabidopsis thaliana (thale cress). Its description in RNAcentral is "ATSL017850". The record is from RNAcentral. Lineage: Eukaryota; Viridiplantae; Streptophyta; Magnoliopsida; Brassicales; Brassicaceae.